UACAGAGGGUGCAAGCGUUGUUCGGAAUCAUUGGGCGUAAAGCGCGCGUAGGCGGCGGGAUAAGUCAGAUGUGAAAGCCCAGGGCUCAACUCUGGAAGUGCAUUUGAAACUGUCUCGCUUGAGUCCCGGAGAGGGUGGUGGAAUUCCCGGUGUAGAGGUGAAAUUCGUAGAUAUCGGGAGGAACAUCAGUGGCGAAGGCGGCCACCUGGCCGGAGACUGACGCUGAGGUGCGAAAGUGUGGGUAGCAAACAGG
This 253-nucleotide unclassified non-coding RNA is filed under the name uncultured Myxococcales bacterium. RNAcentral's name for it is "contains 16S-23S intergenic spacer region". It matches the Rfam family "Bacterial small subunit ribosomal RNA", at positions 524 to 776 of the family's 1533-position model. Lineage: Bacteria; Pseudomonadati; Myxococcota; Myxococcia; Myxococcales. The record is from RNAcentral.